GAUGAACGCUGGCGGCGUGCCUAAUACAUGCAAGUCGAGCGAAUGGAUUAAGAGCUUGCUCUUAUGAAGUUAGCGGCGGACGGGUGAGUAACACGUGGGUAACCUGCCCAUAAGACUGGGAUAACUCCGGGAAACCGGGGCUAAUACCGGAUAACAUUUUGAACCGCAUGGUUCGAAAUUGAAAGGCGGCUUCGGCUGUCACUUAUGGAUGGACCCGCGUCGCAUUAGCUAGUUGGUGAGGUAACGGCUCACCAAGGCAACGAUGCGUAGCCGACAUGAGAGGGUGAUCGGCCACACUGGGACAGAGACACGGCCCAGACUCCUACGGGAGGCAGCAGUAGGGAAUCUUCCGCAAUGGACGGAAGUCUGACGGAGCAACGCCGAGUGAGUGAUGAAGGCUUUCGGGUCGUAAAACUCUGUUGUUAGGGAAGAACAAGUGCUGGUUGAUUAAGCUGGCACCUGGACGGUACCUAAACAGAAAGCCACGGCUAACUACGUGCCAGCAGCCGCCGUAA
Molecule: ribosomal RNA, 515 nt
Filed under: uncultured bacterium
Lineage: Bacteria
Description: partial 16S ribosomal RNA
Rfam family: Bacterial small subunit ribosomal RNA
Source: RNAcentral